This is a long non-coding RNA of Hippocampus zosterae (dwarf seahorse), 1565 nucleotides long. RefSeq lists it as uncharacterized. The record is from RefSeq and is a predicted model, not a curated record. The transcript has 2 exons. NCBI's taxonomy places the organism in Eukaryota, Metazoa, Chordata, Actinopteri, Syngnathiformes, Syngnathidae.
CGGGAGAAAAUGCAAACUCCACACAGGGAGGCCGGAGCUGGAAUCGAACCCGGUACCGCUGCACUGUGAAGUCGACGUGCUAACCACUGGACUACCGGGCCAUUAUUUCCGUGCACUUUGGCCUUCAAGAAGUACGACUGCAAUCGGCUAUUCAUCACAGCAGUUCUAAAGCCAGCCGAAUGGAUAUGAAAGUGCGAUCAAUUGGCCAGGAAAGGGAGAUUAAAGAUGGAUGAGUCACCUUAGUCCUCCUUCUUGACAACCGUGGCAUGCCUUGCAGCCUCUCAAGAAAGGGUCGCAGGGGGUGCUUGGAGCCUAUCCCAGCCAUCUUCGGAUGGUCGGCGGUGGACACUGGAGUACCCGGAGAAAACCCAGGCAGGCACAGGGAGAACAUGCAAAAACUUCACAGGGAGGCUGGAGUUUGACUUGAACAUGCGAGGUCGACGCACUAACCACUAAAUCACCGAGCCAGAUUAUAAAUUCUACAUCAUAAUAUCUUCGUGUCUGACUUCAGAGGGUAAAUUAACAUUUUCGUCUUCCUUCCACAAGAUAAAAUCUAAAAUUGGCUGGCAUUCUUUGAGUGAAAGUACCGAUGCAUGGUUGAGCAAUUAAAUAUAUAUGUAAUCCUGCUGCUGCAUAACAGAAGCAAUUUGUAACAUCUCUCCGCUUUCAUUUUUUGCGUGUGCUGUGGUGGUUAUCCAGCCCCCCCCCCCCCCCUUCAGCAUUGUUAGUCACCGUGUUUAUCGGUUCCAGCAGCUGCGGCGUACUGGACAUCAUCUGAAAGUGCAAAUGACAGGAUGCAAUACACCGGAGAAUAGCAGCAAUCUGAGGGAAGUUCUCCAUUCAACAGAGAUCCCUAACUCUCUGUCUUCUUAUCCUGAGCAGAAAAUAAAAAAAUCAAUAGGGGCUCACUGGGCUUGAUAGAAGUUGAGUGCCGAGAGAGCUUCUAUUCUCACUGUAGUACAUUUCAGCGAAAAAAAAAAUCCAGAUGCCUAUAUGAACUAACAAAUCUGUCUCCGCAAAUGUCCAUCAUCUUCUAGAAAUUAACUAAAUUAUUUUUUAAAAAAUUAUUUUUGUCAAUUAAAGUUUAUAAUGUCACAUUUUUGCAUUGCUAAGUUUGAAAAAGAAAUAGUACCCAAAAAGCCAAUGGAUUUUGCGCCCAGCUACCCCAAACUAUAUCUCAUCCAUGGUCUCUUGUGAAGGUAUCUCAACUCUUAGUCGACUUUUGACAUCAUACCAUACUGUUGUGGAUGUGAUUGAAAAUUUAAAAAAGGGUUCUUGUUUCUUUUGAAACAGUAAAUCUUGGAACUCUUCAAAAAAGCUUCUGUCCAUGCACCAAGAAUUAAGUCAAAAUUGACUCCAUUGGAUUAUUUUGUUUUUUGUUAUUGUAAAGUGUCCUUGGGUGUCUUGAAAGGCGCUUAUAAAUAAAAUGUAUUAUUAUUAUUAUUAUUAUUAUUAUUAUUUACACGUGUGUGUGUGUGUGUGUGUGUGUGUGUGUGUGUGUGUGUGUGUGUGUGUGUGUGUGUGUGUGUGUGUGUGUGUGUGUGUGUGUGUGUGUGUGUGUGAGU